RNAcentral lists this ribosomal RNA (253 nucleotides) under uncultured bacterium. RNAcentral describes it as "partial 16S ribosomal RNA". It matches the Rfam family "Bacterial small subunit ribosomal RNA", at positions 524 to 776 of the family's 1533-position model. The record is from RNAcentral.
UACGGGGGGAGCAAGCGUUGUUCGGAUUUACUGGGCGUAAAGGGCGCGUAGGCGGCGUGACAAGUCACUUGUGAAAUCUCCGGGCUUAACCCGGAGCGGCCAAGUGAUACUGUCGUGCUAGAGUGCGGAAGGGGCUACUGGAAUUCUCGGUGUAGCAGUGAAAUGCGUAGAUAUCGUGAGGAAUACCAGAGGCGAAGGCGGCUACCUGGACAAUUGCUGACGCUCAGGCACGAAAGCGUGGGGAGCAAAAGGG